This 222-nucleotide ribosomal RNA is filed under the name uncultured bacterium. Its description in RNAcentral is "partial 16S ribosomal RNA". It matches the Rfam family "Bacterial small subunit ribosomal RNA", at positions 57 to 305 of the family's 1533-position model. The record is from RNAcentral.
GCAAGUCGAACGGAAUACUUCGGUAUUUAGUGGCGGACGGGUGAGUAACGCGUGGGGAUCUGCCUAGAGGUCUGGAAUAACUUUUGGAAACGGGAGCUAAUACCGGAUACACCCUUCGGGGGAAAGAUUUAUUGCCUUUAGAUGAACCCGCGUUAGAUUAGGUAGUUGGUAGGGUAAAGGCCUACCAAGCCAAUGAUCUAUAGCUGGUUUGAGAGGAUGAUC